RNAcentral lists this ribosomal RNA (535 nucleotides) under uncultured crenarchaeote. RNAcentral's name for it is "bacterial SSU rRNA". It matches the Rfam family "Archaeal small subunit ribosomal RNA", at positions 321 to 859 of the family's 1478-position model. The record is from RNAcentral. Lineage: Archaea; Thermoproteati; Thermoproteota.
CCCUAUGGGGGGCAGCAGGCGAGAAACUUUGCAAUGUGCGAAGCACGACAAGGUUAAUCCGAGUGGUUUCUGCUAAAGAAACCUUUUGCUAGUCCUAGAAACACUAGUGAAUAAGGGGUGGGCAAGUUCUGGUGUCAGCCGCCGCGGUAAAACCAGCACCUCAAGUGGUCAGGAUGAUUAUUGGGCCUAAAGCAUCCGUAGCUCGUUUUGUAAGUUUUCGGUUAAAUCCAUACGCUUAACGUAUGGGCUGCCGGGAAUACUGCAUAACUAGGAAGUGGGAGAGGUAGACGGUACUCGGUAGGAAGGGGUAAAAUCCUUUGAUCUAUUGAUGACCACCUGUGGCGAAGGCGGUCUACCAGAACACGUUCGACGGUGAGGGAUGAAAGCUGGGGGAGCAAACCGGAUUAGAUACCCGGGUAGUCCCAGCUGUAAACUAUGCAAACUCAGUGAUGCAUUGGCUUGUGGCCAAUGCAGUGCUGCAGGGAAGCCGUUAAGUUUGCCGCCUGGGAAGUACGUACGCAAGUAUGAAACUUAA